UCCGUAGGUGAACCUGCGGAAGGAUCAUUAUAGAAAUAAAACUGAACAGGCUGUUUGCUGGUCCUUCUCGAGGGACAUGUGCACGCCUGUCGUCUUUAUUUUUCCAACUGUGCACAUAUUGUAGACCUGGAGUUUUUCUUAUCGUUCGAAUAGAUUGAGGACUGCCGUUGAGGCUUUGCCUUGUAUUUUCCAGGUCUAUGUUGUAAUACAUUUUCACAACGUGUUUCAGAAUGUCGAGUACUGGGGAUAACAAAUAUACAACUUUCAACAACGGAUCUCUUGGCUCUCGCAUCGAUGAAGAACGCAGCGAAAUGCGAUACGUAAUGUGAAUUGCAGAAUUCAGUGAAUCAUCGAAUCUUUGAACGCACAUUGCACUCUCUGGUAUUCCGGAGAGUAUGCUUGUUUGAGUAUCUGUAAACAUCUCAACCCUCAAGGCGCUUGCGUCGGGAGGAUUGGACUUGAGCGAUCCCGACUCUUUCUCACGAAAGAGGAGGGUCGCUUGAAAUGCAGGUGCAGCAGGACAUUCUUCUGAGCUAAAAGCAUAUCUAUUUAGUCCCGUCAAACGGAUUAUUACUUUUGCUUCAGCUAACAUAAAGGUCGAAUGCGCCACAAUCGCUGAUUGCAGGAAAACUCGUUCGUAAGAACUUGUAAACUCGAUCUCAAAUCAAGUAAGACUACCCGCUGAACUUAAGCAUAUCAAUAAGCGGAGGA
This 711-nucleotide ribosomal RNA is filed under the name uncultured fungus. RNAcentral describes it as "eukaryotic LSU rRNA". The stretch from base 260 to 413 matches the Rfam family "5.8S ribosomal RNA". The record is from RNAcentral. Lineage: Eukaryota; Fungi.